GGACUACCCGGGUUUCUAAUCCUGUUUGAUCCCCACGCUUUCGGGCAUCAGUGUCAGUGUUGGGCCAGCUACCCGCCUUCGCCACCGGUAUUCCUCCAGAUAUCUACGUAUUUCACCACUACACCUGGAAUUCUAGUAGCCUCUCCCACACUCAAGCCUUGCAGUAUCAAAUGCACGUCCAGGGUUGAGCCCUGGGAUUUCACACCUGACUUACAAAGCCACCUACACCCGCUUUACGCCCAAUGAUUCCGAACAACGCUAGGAUCCCUCGUCUUACCGCGGCUGCUGGCAC
Molecule: ribosomal RNA, 292 nt
Filed under: uncultured bacterium
Lineage: Bacteria
Description: partial 16S ribosomal RNA
Source: RNAcentral